GGCUGGUCUGAAGGUGCUGAGGUAUCUCACUCAAUUGCUCAUGUCAGGUGCAGAAUGAUCCUUCUAAUCGCCCCCUUCCCACUGCUGCACUUGACUAUUGA
RNAcentral lists this non-coding RNA (101 nucleotides) under Otolemur garnettii (small-eared galago). The record is from RNAcentral. Lineage: Eukaryota; Metazoa; Chordata; Mammalia; Primates; Galagidae.